RNAcentral lists this microRNA (24 nucleotides) under Canis lupus familiaris (dog). RNAcentral's name for it is "cfa-miR-8822". Lineage: Eukaryota; Metazoa; Chordata; Mammalia; Carnivora; Canidae. The record is from miRBase by way of RNAcentral.
UGGUUGGCUGGGCUUAUGCAGAGC